GCGGGAGAUCGAGAUUACUCCGUGGCUUGAAGCUUACAGUUGGCCAACACACAUGUGUACGGCUUCCUUACCAGUUUAAACAGCGUUUGUUUUUCUUUAAUAGAAAUUUGAUGACAGAGAGUCUUUCUCCUCCCUCUAUUUUUUUAUUUUUCCCUCUUGUUGCAACUGUGUUCUGUCGGGAAAACGUCAAUUCCGCAAAAAUUCAAUAUUCGACUAAGAAGAAUUUAUGUACGUGUCACAAAGAGAUUCAGAGAACGCAACUUUGUUCAUUGUACCUGAUGUUUAUAGUUGACACGAUUAUCCGUGAAUUUGUUGAAUAAACAUAAUGGAACGCUCAAAAAGGCUGAUGAUCGAUGAGGGAGAGCCGAACGUUCUCGAGCCACUUCUGACAAGAGUCGAUCAGCAAGAGCUUAUACGCAUUGACAAAAACGAGUUUAAAAUUGGUCGCGCGAGGGACAAUGAUGAAAUCAUAUUGGACAUCACAGUAUCCAGGAGACAUUGUAUAUUCAGAUGUGAAGGUCAAAGCGAAUGGACUGUGAAGAACUUAGGUUCCUCAUCAACAAUUGUUAAUGGCAUCAUCAUCCAGUCAAGAGUGGCACAAGAAGUCCAUUCUGGUGAUAUAAUACAAUUUGGUUCUAAUGCAACAUAUAAGUAUGUGUUCAGUCUUGCUGAAAGAGGACACUGUGUUAAGAGACAACGUUUGGACGAGAAAGUCCUUGACACUAUGCUUAUCAAACAAAGGACCUUUGCUGAAAACCAAGAGUGUCAGAAAAAGGAACUCAAAGACAAGCUUGAGAUAAAACAUAAAGAGCAAAUAGAAUUGAGACAACAGCUUGAAGAGCUAUUGUCACAACAAGCAGCUGCCAAAGAUGACAAAGAAAAUCUAAUCAAACAGAUCACAACAUUGGAAAGCAAAAUAGAGGCUGGUAAUGCACAAGAGCAACACUUACAUAGCAUAUAUUCUCAAUUAUUGGAGAAACUGGAAAAUGAAAGGAAGCAGUUUGAGACAAGGAUAAAUGAAGAAAAACAAAAAUGGCAAGAGGCAUUGGAGAUGAGUAAGCAAGAGAAAGAAAUGGUGGAGAUAAAGAUGAAGGAGCAAAUGGAAAGUUGGAGAGAGCAACAACAAACAGAAUGGAAAAAGAUGAUGGAGAGCAAGGUAAAUGAAGAGAAAACAAUUCAGGCUCAAUUGUUGAACGAGAAGAAUAUACUAGAAGAAAAACUAAAAGAGACAGAAAAAGCGUUAAAGGAACAAGAGGCAAAAGCUGAAACCUCACAAGCAAUGUUGAAUGCAAGCAUGAUAUCUGAAUCCACUGCCAGUUCGUCAGACUGUAUAUUCGUGGAACUCGUAGAUGUGAAUCAAUCUACAGGAUUUCAUGUAUUAGACACAAUUGAUUUAACCGGAUUCAAUCAGAACAUAGAGACAAAUACCAAAGAUGAUGUUCUCGAGAAAGUGAGUGAUAUUAUGGACGAACAAUUGACAUGCAGCAUAUGCUCAGAAUUGUUCGUGAAAGCAACGACCUUGAAUUGCACACACACGUUCUGUCAUCAUUGCAUAAACAUGUGGUGCAGGAAGCGGAAGGAAUGUCCAGUCUGCAGAAAAUCGGUGAUAUCGAUGAAUCGAUCGUUGGUGUUAGAUAAUUUUAUUGAGAGUAUGAUUGAAAACCUGCCAACUGAACUGCAGAAUAAGAGAAAGGAGAUUUUACAAGAAAGAAAAAUUAUUGAGAGGAAGAAACGUCUUUGAAGCAUGAAUCGCUUGACGAGACAGAGAUAAAGAAGAGAGAAAAUAACAAUAUUAAGGAUUUCACGGUAAGAGACUUACGAUCAUUCUCUUGAACAUACCUCGGUAUAACUUCGAGAGCUCUCGCAAUCGCCCCGAUCAGAAGCUGCUCUUUACCGGCGAUGGUGCGAGAAUAAUCGCGCAGGGUCUUGGAGAGCUCCAUUUCGAUCGCGCCACCGCCACCAAC
RNAcentral lists this unclassified non-coding RNA (1964 nucleotides) under Harpegnathos saltator (Jerdon's jumping ant). Its description in RNAcentral is "e3 ubiquitin-protein ligase RNF8, transcript variant X1". Lineage: Eukaryota; Metazoa; Arthropoda; Insecta; Hymenoptera; Formicidae. The record is from RNAcentral.